GACGAACGCUGGCGGCGUGCUUAACACAUGCAAGUCGAACGGAAAGGCCCUGCUUUUGUGGGGUGCUCGAGUGGCGAACGGGUGAGUAACACGUGAGUAACCUGCCCUUGACUUUGGGAUAACUUCAGGAAACUGGGGCUAAUACCGGAUAGGAGCUCCUGCUGCAUGGUGGGGGUUGGAAAGUUUCGGCGGUUGGGGAUGGACGCGCGGCUUAUCAGCUUGUUGGUGGGGUAGUGGUUUACCAAGGCUUUGACGGGUAGCCGGCCUGAGAGGGUGACCGGGGACAUUGGGACUAAGAUACGGCCCAGACUCCUACGGGAGGCAGCAGUGGGGAAUAUGGCAGAAUGGGCGGAAGCCUGAUGCAGAAACGCCGCGUGCGGGAUGACGGGCUUCGGGUUGUAAACCGCUUUCGCCUGUGACGAAGCGUGAGUGACGGUAAUGGGUAAAGAAGCACCGGCUAACUACGUG
Molecule: ribosomal RNA, 468 nt
Filed under: uncultured bacterium
Lineage: Bacteria
Description: partial 16S ribosomal RNA
Rfam family: Bacterial small subunit ribosomal RNA
Source: RNAcentral